This 1156-nucleotide long non-coding RNA is filed under the name Olea europaea (common olive). RNAcentral's name for it is "long non-coding RNA (OEUR_LNC011263)". Lineage: Eukaryota; Viridiplantae; Streptophyta; Magnoliopsida; Lamiales; Oleaceae. The record is from RNAcentral.
UGCGACGAACAUGCCGGGGGAGGCUAGCCUACCCGUGCAAUGCAAUGACCCACCCACCACAAAGAGGCGACGGUCAACACGCAUCCGACGUCCUUCUGUAUCUACAAAGACUCCGUACACCAAGGGGAGGGCGAAGAGAGUGAAGAAAUGAGGUAUUUUAGGCGUAAUUUGACAUUAUUUCAAGUUUGUGUGGAGUUCGUCUUUGCGUAGUCAUACGUUUACGUUAUUCUAAAUGAGCAUGUCGAAUAUUAUACGAAUAUUCUCCGAACUGUUCAUAUCACAUGCAAUUGAAACAUUAUGUUGUCGGAUUCUAUCACGUUCAGUCGAAUAUCUGUAAAGGAGCAUUUCGAAGGGGUUUGGGUCCAUUUUUGCAAUUAAAUGGGUUGGGUUCGGUUAUAUUUACCCCAUUUUCUGUCCGGUUAGGUUGGGUUAUGGGUUAACCCUUUAACCCAACCCGAAGCCGACCAACCCAACCCAUAUACAAAAGUUAAUUUUAAAAAUGUGUAGAAAUUAUAAAACGAGUAUAAGGUCCCUCCCUUUUCCCUGACCCUUCCCAUUCCCAUUUUCCAUUUCCCCCUCAGAGAAAACCUAGUCUCCUCUAAUCCAUCACGAAGUCGGUAGUCGCCCUUUCUAUUGUUGAUUCUAACACUGAGUAUUUAUCACUCUUUCGGUGUUUUGAUAUUUGAUAUUGUGGGGAGAAAAUGCUGAAAAUCUCAGCUUUCUACGAACGAAGGUGAGAAAUUUUGUUCCGCCUCUGUCGCUGCCGGUAUCCGACUUCAAUCCCCCACCGUCCUAUGCUACCAUAUAGGUGAGUAUUUUUCUUUAACCUAGAUUCACUUCCUUUAUCCUUAAUAUCUGAUAUAGUUGAAGUUUUUUAAGAAUUGAUUAUGCUUUGUUUCUUUAGCAUGUUUGGACUUUUAUUGGUAUUCGUAGUUCCAUUUCAAUUGUAUGGUUCUUGGAAGACAAUUUUCUAAGUAUUCGUAUUUGUAUAUGAAAAUCACUGGAUUGGAUGUGUGCUGUUGAUUGCUUCUGAAUUGGGUUGGAUGACCGAACGAGAUGAGUUUCGUGGGUUAAUGUUGCAUUGAAGUGACAAUAAGUUGACUGGGAAUGUAUCUAUAUAUUUCAUGUGGCUUGUCAAAUUUAGCACUCCAAUUUU